UACGUAGGGUGCGAGCGUUAAUCGGAAUUACUGGGCGUAAAGCGUGCGCAGGCGGUUUUGUAAGCCAGAUGUGAAAUCCCCGGGCUCAACCUGGGAAUGGCAUUUGGGACUGCAAGGCUGGAGUGCGGCAGAGGAGACUGGAAUUCCUGGUGUAGCAGUGAAAUGCGUAGAUAUCAGGAGGAAUACCGAUGGCGAAGGCAGGUCUCUGGGCUGACACUGACGCUCAUGCACGAAAGCGUGGGGAGCAAACG
Molecule: ribosomal RNA, 251 nt
Filed under: uncultured bacterium
Lineage: Bacteria
Description: partial 16S ribosomal RNA
Rfam family: Bacterial small subunit ribosomal RNA
Source: RNAcentral